This 1187-nucleotide long non-coding RNA is filed under the name Equus caballus (horse). RNAcentral's name for it is "lncRNA (ENSECAG00000054680.1)". The record is from RNAcentral. Lineage: Eukaryota; Metazoa; Chordata; Mammalia; Perissodactyla; Equidae.
GGGAGCUCACUUUGGAGAUGGCAGCAAACCUCAACCCGGGGUGCCGGUAGGUCCCUCACUGUGAGCCGGUCCUCUCACGCUGCUCAGGGCGGCACAGCAGAGAGCAGGCCCAGCCGCUGACCAGGCCUGGACUCUGGACUGAGACAGACCUGGGUCUGACACGGGGCCCAACGCCUCCUGCCCGAGUGGCCUUGGGCGUGCCACUCAGCCCCUCUGUGCCUCCUCCCCCAAGAAAGGAGACAGACCGUUACCACCAGAAUGGACCCAGACCAUAAGUCCCGGAAGCAGCGAGGCCAUGCCCAUCGUUCCCCCGUCAACUGCCAGCCUCCAGCCCGGGGCCAAGCGCACGGCACGUGCUUGAUAAAUAAUUCUCAGUUUAUGAAAAAGCGAAUGUCGGAGCCAAGCUCUGGAAGUCCCGGGAGAUCUUUUAAAAAGAUGCUUUUUUAAAGACGUAUUCCCAAAUUCUCCAGCCGGGAUGGUGACUGAUGGCUCUGGAAGCAGCGCAAACAGGCCGGGCCGGGCUGGCGCUUUACAAGGACAAACGCGCAUCAGGCGCUCCGUGCCCUCAACGGAGCCGCGCUUUAUCUCUGCCUGCAGAACGCAUCGAUCUCGACGUCAAUCAGAACCAGCUCGCCUCGUAACUCACACAACAGGCUGGGGAGCUGAUCAAACGCUCUGUUAAAGCGGCACUUUAAUAACAAUAUCGCUUAGAUCUCAACUGCUUAAUUAGAUUUCACUCAUUGCCAUCACUUGCCUCAUUUGAACGGCUCGUUUAUAAUUUACGGUCUUUAUGCAUUUGGUUGUUCAUUUGUAAAAUGAGAGAGAACAACCACCAGGCAAAGGAAAGCGGGAGAAGAAAUGGAUUUGACUUCUCCCAGGGGCCAAGGGGCCUGCAAGUGGGAGGCCUGCGGCCAAGCGGAGAGCAGGCUCAGAAUCUCUCGCUCCUCUGCUAGAAGCUUCUACGGUUCCUCUGGACAAGUACCCCCGGCCCUACGUCUUUGCGGUUGGCGCUUCCUCCAGCUUCAGACAUAGGCUCCGCCCAUCAGCUUGUCUGACUCCGAUCAGCACCAGGAUUAGUUCAGGAAUAGGCACAUGAUCAACCCCACCCAAUGAGAACGAGCCUUGGGAUAUUUGCUGCAACUCCCAGGACAGAGUCUGCAGCGCCAGGGGGCCAGCCUCCCUCUGAG